Long non-coding RNA from Gossypium raimondii (Peruvian cotton), 1044 nucleotides. RefSeq lists it as uncharacterized. The transcript has 2 exons. The record is from RefSeq and is a predicted model, not a curated record. NCBI's taxonomy places the organism in Eukaryota, Viridiplantae, Streptophyta, Magnoliopsida, Malvales, Malvaceae.
AAUGCGAGGAGCAGUGGAAGUGGUGGUGGUUUGAGAGUUUAAAAGGUGCAAAGUCCAAAGAUUUUCAGAAAGGGAAAAAAUAAAUAAAUAAAUGUGUAGGUAUAUGUAUAUAAGAUAUUUAUAAGAAGGUUCCAGGUAUCAAGGGCCAAGAUCAUGUGACAGACCCAUAAGAUAAGGAGCAAACCUAAGUUAAAAGGUUUUUUUCUUUUUGCUUGCACUUUUUCUCAAAAUUCUCAAACUUAAAAAGAGAGGCAGCCAGGCAUGGUUUGAGAGAUUCAGAGAAAGUCUAAACUAAAGCCUCCAAAAGCAUUACAGUUUCUGAGUUGGGGCUUGGUGGCGCCACUACUACACUUGAACUGGUCCAUCAGUUGAGACGACAAUGUUAAGAGGAGUGAAUACAAGACCGGGCAGAUAUAGUGGGGGGGCCAAAGUGGCUGUUUUCUUCUUGUGGAUUAUGUUGUUUUUUUCUCAGUUGGGUUUGCAUUUCGCUGUUCAUAAACAAGGCAGUCGGCAUAGCUUUCAGUUUAUUAGGUCCCCUCCCCCAAGGAAAGUCUGGUUUUCCGGCGCUGCUAAUUCCUUUCAUGCUCCAUCAAGCUCGCCUCACUUGCCCGGAAAUGAAGGUGAUGAAAAGAGAAUAGUUCAUACAGGCCCUAAUCCUCUUCACAAUUAAGGGGAGAAAGAAAGAAACAAAACCAGUUAGGGUGUAAGUUACUACAUGUUUUGAAAUGCUAAAUGACUGUAAGAAGGAUGAUAUUAUUAUUAUUAUUAUUAUUAUUAUUAGCUUUUGCUUCUUUUCUUGAAUAUUAUUACAGUGAAUGAUGAUGAGAAUAGAGAGCAUUGGCUUUAGCCUUUUCAGUGAUGUUUCUAAAUUAGGGUUCUUUUUUAGGGCAGUGUAAGACAAGGGGAAAGGCUAGUGUUAAUGCCCUUGUUUCUUUUGUUUGUGUUCUUCUUCUUCUUCUUCUUCUUCUCGUGUACUGUACCUUUCUCUCUGUUAAUGCUAAGAUUGAAGACAUCUUUUAAAUUAAAUAGGUUCAGUUCCUUUCA